Molecule: ribosomal RNA, 1549 nt
Filed under: Klebsiella pneumoniae
Lineage: Bacteria; Pseudomonadati; Pseudomonadota; Gammaproteobacteria; Enterobacterales; Enterobacteriaceae
Description: 16S ribosomal RNA
Rfam family: Bacterial small subunit ribosomal RNA
Source: RNAcentral
AGAGUUUGAUCAUGGCUCAGAUUGAACGCUGGCGGCAGGCCUAACACAUGCAAGUCGAGCGGUAGCACAGAGAGCUUGCUCUCGGGUGACGAGCGGCGGACGGGUGAGUAAUGUCUGGGAAACUGCCUGAUGGAGGGGGAUAACUACUGGAAACGGUAGCUAAUACCGCAUAAUGUCGCAAGACCAAAGUGGGGGACCUUCGGGCCUCAUGCCAUCAGAUGUGCCCAGAUGGGAUUAGCUAGUAGGUGGGGUAACGGCUCACCUAGGCGACGAUCCCUAGCUGGUCUGAGAGGAUGACCAGCCACACUGGAACUGAGACACGGUCCAGACUCCUACGGGAGGCAGCAGUGGGGAAUAUUGCACAAUGGGCGCAAGCCUGAUGCAGCCAUGCCGCGUGUGUGAAGAAGGCCUUCGGGUUGUAAAGCACUUUCAGCGGGGAGGAAGGCGNNNNNNNNNNNNNNNNNNNNNNNNNCGAUUGACGUUACCCGCAGAAGAAGCACCGGCUAACUCCGUGCCAGCAGCCGCGGUAAUACGGAGGGUGCAAGCGUUAAUCGGAAUUACUGGGCGUAAAGCGCACGCAGGCGGUCUGUCAAGUCGGAUGUGAAAUCCCCGGGCUCAACCUGGGAACUGCAUUCGAAACUGGCAGGCUAGAGUCUUGUAGAGGGGGGUAGAAUUCCAGGUGUAGCGGUGAAAUGCGUAGAGAUCUGGAGGAAUACCGGUGGCGAAGGCGGCCCCCUGGACAAAGACUGACGCUCAGGUGCGAAAGCGUGGGGAGCAAACAGGAUUAGAUACCCUGGUAGUCCACGCCGUAAACGAUGUCGAUUUGGAGGUUGUGCCCUUGAGGCGUGGCUUCCGGAGCUAACGCGUUAAAUCGACCGCCUGGGGAGUACGGCCGCAAGGUUAAAACUCAAAUGAAUUGACGGGGGCCCGCACAAGCGGUGGAGCAUGUGGUUUAAUUCGAUGCAACGCGAAGAACCUUACCUGGUCUUGACAUCCACAGAACUUNNNNNNNNNNNNNNNNNNNNNNNNNNNUUGGUGCCUUCGGGAACUGUGAGACAGGUGCUGCAUGGCUGUCGUCAGCUCGUGUUGUGAAAUGUUGGGUUAAGUCCCGCAACGAGCGCAACCCUUAUCCUUUGUUGCCAGCGGUUAGGCCGGGAACUCAAAGGAGACUGCCAGUGAUAAACUGGAGGAAGGUGGGGAUGACGUCAAGUCAUCAUGGCCCUUACGACCAGGGCUACACACGUGCUACAAUGGCAUAUACAAAGAGAAGCGACCUCGCGAGAGCAAGCGGACCUCAUAAAGUAUGUCGUAGUCCGGAUUGGAGUCUGCAACUCGACUCCAUGAAGUCGGAAUCGCUAGUAAUCGUAGAUCAGAAUGCUACGGUGAAUACGUUCCCGGGCCUUGUACACACCGCCCGUCACACCAUGGGAGUGGGUUGCAAAAGAAGUAGGUAGCUUAACCUUCGGGAGGGCGCUUACCACUUUGUGAUUCAUGACUGGGGUGAAGUCGUAACAAGGUAACCGUAGGGGAACCUGCGGUUGGAUCACCU